CACGCCGUAAACGAUGCGCACUAGACCGGUGCGGUUUUGACGCCGUAUCGGUCGGAGUAAAAACGAUAAGUGCGCCGCCUGGGGAGUACGGUCGCAAGGCUAAAACUCAAAUGAAUUGACGGGGGCUCACACAAGCGGUGGAGCAUGUUGCUUAAUUCGAGGCAACGCGAAGAACCUUACCUGGGUUUGACAUGCUUGGAUUAACCCCAUGAAAGUGGGGCCACAGUCGCAAGACCGGAACAGGCACAGGUGC
RNAcentral lists this ribosomal RNA (253 nucleotides) under uncultured bacterium. RNAcentral describes it as "partial 16S ribosomal RNA". It matches the Rfam family "Bacterial small subunit ribosomal RNA", at positions 796 to 1041 of the family's 1533-position model. The record is from RNAcentral.